Molecule: ribosomal RNA, 253 nt
Filed under: uncultured bacterium
Lineage: Bacteria
Description: partial 16S ribosomal RNA
Rfam family: Bacterial small subunit ribosomal RNA
Source: RNAcentral
UACGUAGGGGGCUAGCGUUGUCCGGAAUCAUUGGGCGUAAAGAGCGUGUAGGCGGCUCGGUAAGUCCGCUGUGAAAGUCCAGGGCUCAACCCUGGGAUGCGGGUGGAUACUGCUGGGCUCGAGUCCGGAAGAGGCGAGUGGAAUUCCCGGUGUAGCGGUGAAAUGCGCAGAUAUCGGGAGGAACACCAAUGGCGAAGGCAGCUCGCUGGGACGUGACUGACGCUGAGACGCGAAAGCGUGGGGAGCAAACAGG